CACGUUUGGAUGUACCACAAAAUUCAUAAUGUAGCAUGUUUAGCAGAAGUGUUUUCCAACCACAAGUCUAAUCUCCAACUACUGGUCUGUGUCUGAGACCAUUUCUACAACCUUCCACGUUCCAUAAAUUACUUUAUAAUCCAAUCCUGCCCUUCACACCAAACACUACCCAAAUCUUUCUGUCACGUUUGUGUAGGAGCUUCAACAGAAUGAGUCACCACAGGCACCCUCCACCACCAGGUCCACCACCACCGGAUCCUUUUGCGCCGCCACCUCCACCAGGACCGCCAGGGCCACCACCUCCUGGAUUUGCUCAUCAUCCACCACCACCAGGUCCACACGGUCCACCACCUCCAUUCGCUCAUCCCCCACCACCACCAGGUCCACCAGGUCCACACGGUCCACCACCUCCAUUUGCUCAUCCCCCACCACCACCAGGACCGCCAGGUCCUCCACCACCUGGACCUCACCCUCACCAUCACCCUCACCCUCCACAUCCUUAUUAGCGAUUUAGCAUUACUUCAAUAUGCAUAUAUAUUGUAACACGUCAUAGAGGAUAUAAAAUAAAUUUACCAUUCUAUCUAUUCUCACUUGUUCUUUAUGUUUGUCAGUAUGGCCUACAAGACUACCAGCAUGUAAUCUUUAUUGUUGGAUGGAAUAAUUGUCUUACUUUUUUUA
Long non-coding RNA from Quercus lobata, 678 nucleotides. RefSeq lists it as uncharacterized. Lineage: Eukaryota; Viridiplantae; Streptophyta; Magnoliopsida; Fagales; Fagaceae. The transcript has 2 exons. The record is from RefSeq and is a predicted model, not a curated record.